UGGUUUACAGGCAGUGCUGUAAGACAAGGCUACCUCAGCCUUCCUAGGAGCCUACUGACUGCUCUGUUCAGAAUCAUUAACUCUCAGGAAAGGAAAAACAAACCUUCAUCUUGGUUUUCAAAGCUCUCAUCCCUAUUCUCCAAACCAUCUUACUUCCAAACUAUCUCCUCCAUUUUGUUGCCAUAUGGCCUGCAUUGCAUAGACGUAGCAGACGGUCAAGGUCUGGAAAAGUGUCCUCUGUCGUUCAUCCCUGUACCCACAGGCACAAAGGCCAUGUGUGCCCAGAGGCGUAACUACAAGAUUGAGGAGGGCUAUCUCACUCCCGUCACAGUUCAUGAAAGCAUAGAGCAAUUGUGCUGGAUCAGACCUCUAAGACUUAGAGAAGCCCGAGUGCCCGUGAGCAAAGUCACCCUUAGUCUUGUGGCUGCUGGAGUGCUUUCACACGAGUAUGAACUUAAUGUUUAGAUACAAACAAGGAAAUAGAUUCUUUUAAACUGUCUCAAAAGUAUGAUUUCUCCUAAAUCACAAAUGCUCAAGAAUAUAAAAGAAAACCCACAAGAUGUGCUUAAAUGUGAGCAUACUGUAAGGUUUUCAGUCAGCCAGAAAACACAUUUUCAAUAACCAUAUGGCUUAUUGGCUUGAAAAAAUUCAUUCACCUGACCCCAAAUACUUAUGCAGUGACUGAACACAAGUGUAACAGGCUCAUACUCCCCAACAGCAACAUUUUCAAUUUUAUAAUUUGUUAAGUUUUAAAGAGAAAUUGUUUUUCAUUUCAGUACUUUGAUUUGUGAACUAGAAAACAUAAAAACAUUGAUAGAUGUAAGAAAGUUAAGGUUUUACUUAUAAGAUUCCCAAUAAUCCUGGCUGAAACACUGCAAACAGACUGAAAAUUAAAACAGGUGCUUAGAAAUGCUCAAGAUUAUUCCCUUGGUGUUUUCAUUUAAGUCUCUGGUUUUGUUUGUUUGUUUGUUUGUUUCGAUGCAUUUAUUUAAUAAAAAAAAAUGUUAGGAAUCUUCCCUGUACAAAGCAAUGCAGAUUCCAUCAUACAUUUUAUUCUAAGACUUGAAAAAUAUGUUUCAAAAUAAUAUCUGUCCUGAAACUCUACUUAGACUCAAGUCUUAGAAGUUGUAAGAGUGCAAUUCAAUGUCAUUAAAUCCAACAGAAUUAGUAGAUAGUAGAUGGUAAGUUUUACUGCAACAGAACCAAACUUUUCCAAUGCUUUGUCCACUAACAGUGCCUAGUAGCUGCCUUUUCCACAGACAGUGGUAAUUUAUGGAGAAAUAAUGAAAACAAAGCCAAAGUCUACAAAAUCUUUUGUAGUACAGCCUUUGACACUAGAAGAGCCAUCUCCUCUGAUGUCACAAAGGAGGUUCAGAGAAAUAAAUGACCCAGGCAAAGUUCACAGUGCCAGACACACCACCAUGACCAAGCCCUUGUUUCCUGAUGCUAACACUGACAUCCCUCCUUGAGAUCAUCUGGGAUUUCUUUGCCUCAGAUUCCUCCAACCAUCCAUGCAUGCUAGGAAUUACUAAUGUGGCAGUGGUGGCACAUACCUUUAACUCCAGCACUCAGGAGGCAGAAGCGAGCAGAUCUCUGUGAGGUCUGGGCCAGCUUGAUCUACAGAGCAAGUCCCAGGACAGCCAGUACUAUACAAAGGAACCUAAUCUCAAAAACCAUCAUCAUCGCCAUCGUCAUUGCAUCAUCAUCGCCAUCGUCAUGGUCAUCAUUGUCAUCAUCAUCCUCUUAAGCGAAUAAGCAGUUGAACGUGGCAGACAAACGAUGGUCACUUGGCUCUGUACAGUUGAGUACUGAGCAUAGCGUGGCUGCAGCAGUUUUGCCUCCCCUGCGUUUGUGAGCAGCUUCCUAGUGGCUGAGUAGUGACACUUUAGAAUUCUGGAAACUCCUUCAACUGAAUCUUUUAAGUGUCUGAAGUUUUUUCCUAGCAUUAAAAAUGAAACGAGCAACUGGGAAAGACUUAUAUUUCUCUUUAAAUACCGAACUUAAGAGAAAAACCCAGACAGCUAUCUCUGAAAAAUGCCACAUCCCUCUCAACCUUCCACUCAUGAGAGGAAAUGUUAAACCCCUCAGUAAAUACAAUUCUGCCACUGCUCACUGCUUCAAACGGAGUGACAACACUAAGCCCAGCUCAAGAUCCUGACAGGCAUCAAUGGAUUCCUCAAAGUUGACUGUGAUCCUAGCCAGCUAUUCUCAGCCUGCCAAGUGCUUUGUCUGACCUUGUAAAGAAACUGAGUCCUCUAGGAGAGCAUCUGUCAAACGAGAAGUCUAGAAAGUGAGACCACUGGCCUGCAGGCUGCAGCUCUAGGGCUUCUUAAACAAGAGCUGUGCUUUUAUUGCCUCAAAACUGCCAAUAAUCAAGGGUCUGGAGCGAGGGUCCAGUACUCUCUUCCGUUAAUUCUACGAUGCACUGCAUGUUUAGUGCAUGCCAGGGUGAAAGAGACUCUCUACUUCCAGGAUGUCUGCUUUUUUUAAGCAAUCAAAGUUUGAACAUUUUUACAUAUAAAAUGAAGCCACUCAUGAGUAUACAUUUAUUCCUUUAAGAUCUGGUGUUCAGUAAAUUCUGCCUGUUAUGUAACAGACCAAUUUAACUAGAAAUCAUUCACACUGACAUCCCAUUGUAGUAAGCCAUGGAUUAGCAGUUGGUUGAGAAAACAUUUACUUCAAAUCUUACCUUCAUUCUAAACUUCCUGUUGUAAGUUAUGGCUUUUUUUUUUUUUUUUUGCUUAUAGAUACAUAUUUGCUAUUUAAUGGACUUUUAUAUCAACUUUAUUUACGUUUUAUCAAUGUAUAAUUUUAUAUAACCUUAAAAUGUACCUUUCUUGUGACUUUAACAGUAAUUUUCUUUUACUGUCAUUUUUUAAUUUUUUAAAUAGGUUUCACUGAAAUAAUUCUAUACAUGCACAUAAUAGGCUUUGUUACUGAGACACCCUCCCCGCUGCUUCCCCAUAGCCCCACCUGCUUUCCUAGUAGUUCCCUUCAACUUCCUGAGAAUCUCGCAACAGUUUCCAAACACAGGAUAAAAGAGCCAUAAGUGACAUUUUGGGUAGAAUGCGUCUUUAGCAGGCACACAUUAUUUGGUUUGUAAUAAUUUAAU
Molecule: long non-coding RNA, 3112 nt
Organism: Mus musculus (house mouse)
Lineage: Eukaryota; Metazoa; Chordata; Mammalia; Rodentia; Muridae
Product: predicted gene, 32311
Exons: 5
Source: RefSeq, a predicted model, not a curated record